RNAcentral lists this ribosomal RNA (892 nucleotides) under Podospora praecox. RNAcentral's name for it is "LSU rRNA". It matches the Rfam family "Eukaryotic large subunit ribosomal RNA", at positions 38 to 961 of the family's 3401-position model. The record is from RNAcentral. Lineage: Eukaryota; Fungi; Ascomycota; Sordariomycetes; Sordariales; Podosporaceae.
GCAUAUCAAUAAGCGGAGGAAAAGAAACCAACAGGGAUUGCCUCAGUAACGGCGAAGUGAAGCGGCAACAGCUCAAAUUUGAAAUCUGGCCUCGGCCCGAGUUGUAAUUUGUAGAGGAAGCUUUUGGUGCGGCACCGACCGAGUCCCCUGGAACGGGGCGCCAUAGAGGGUGAGAGCCCCGUAUGGUUGGACGCCUAUCCUCUGUAAAGCUCCUUCGACGAGUCGAGUAGUUUGGGAAUGCUGCUCAAAAUGGGAGGUAAAUUUCUUCUAAAGCUAAAUAUUGGCCAGAGACCGAUAGCGCACAAGUAGAGUGAUCGAAAGAUGAAAAGCACUUUGAAAAGAGGGUUAAAUAGCACGUGAAAUUGUUGAAAGGGAAGCGCUUGUGACCAGACUUGCGCCUCGUCGAUCAUCCGGGGUUCUCCCCGGUGCACUCGGCGGGGCUCAGGCCAGCAUCGGUUUUCGUGGGGGGACAAAGGCACCGGGAACGUAGCUCCUCCGGGAGUGUUAUAGCCCGGGGCGUAAUGCCCUCGCGGGGACCGAGGACCGCGCUUCGGCAAGGAUGCUGGCGUAAUGGUCAUCAGCGACCCGUCUUGAAACACGGACCAAGGAGUCAAGGUUUUGCGCGAGUGUUUGGGUGUAAAACCCGCACGCGUAAUGAAAGUGAACGUAGGUGAGAGCUUCGGCGCAUCAUCGACCGAUCCUGAUGUAUUCGGAUGGAUUUGAGUAGGAGCGUUAAGCCUUGGACCCGAAAGAUGGUGAACUAUGCUUGGAUAGGGUGAAGCCAGAGGAAACUCUGGUGGAGGCUCGCAGCGGUUCUGACGUGCAAAUCGAUCGUCAAAUCUGAGCAUGGGGGGCGAAAGACUAAUCGAACCAUCUAGUAGCUGGUUACCGC